RNA transcript from Colias croceus (clouded yellow), 3409 nucleotides. It is a transcript of the gene named protein O-mannosyltransferase 1, with no coding region annotated. The transcript is spliced from 10 exons. The record is from RefSeq and is a predicted model, not a curated record. Lineage: Eukaryota; Metazoa; Arthropoda; Insecta; Lepidoptera; Pieridae.
UGUCCUUGACAGUUGUUCACACUUCUGACUUCACACCGGUUAGUUGAUUAGUUCCGUUACUCCGAGACUGAUUGAAAAUGUUUAGAAAAUUUUGCUUACGUUUAUAUUUUGAAAUAGGAAAUUAAAAUUAACGCAAAUUUUUCAAUCACAUGAAGAAUUUCGAUGAGUUAAGCAUUUAAGAUGGACAUGGAGUCAACAAAAGCUAUAAAAAACCGGAAAAGUAGAAAGGAACACAACAAACAAAACGAGGUCAAGAAAGUUUCUGAAACAGAGAAUUCUGAACAAAGUUUAAAAUUAUUAAAAAGAGAAGUCGGUGAUGGUGCCCCAGCACAAAAUGAAUAUGAAUGCAAAGAUGAUAAUUAUGAAGAGAAUACAAACAUAUCACAUAGAUAUUAUUUAAAAAUCGAAAUUGAUAUAAUAUUUCUUAUUCUCUUAUGUUUAGGUCUUUGCACUAGAUUGUUUAACUUAGACAAUCCUCAUUAUAUUGUCUUUGACGAGCUACAUUAUGGUAGAUAUGUAUCGCUUUAUACAAAAGGGGUUUUCUUUUUUGAUGCCCAUCCACCAUUAGGAAAACAGUUGUUGUAUUUAGCUGGUCGUAUGGCUGGCUAUGAUGGAAAUUUCACCUUUGAUAGAAUUGGAUCUCCGUAUACAGAAAAUGUACCUGUGACAGCUUUAAGAAUUAUACCUGCGAUAAGUGGCAGUCUCCUUGUAGCACUUUCAUAUCAAUUUAUGUUGGAGACUUCAGUACAUCAAGGGACUGCUGUAUUAGCUGCUUUAUUGGUUUUAUUUGAAAAUAGUCUCCUGACCCAAUCCAGAUUUAUGCUAUUAGAAAGUAUACAAAUUCUGUUUGGCAUGUGGGGAAUUCUGUGUGUAAUUAAAAGUACAAGAAAAACUGGUCUAGCUUCAAUAUUAUGGCUUUGUAUAGGAGCAGUAUCACUUGGUUGUUGUUUCUCCAUUAAAUAUUCAGGGUUCUACACAUAUUUUUUGGCAUUUAUAUUGGUUGGACGUCAAAUGUGGAACAGAAUUGGAAAAGUUGAAUCUGCUUUACGUCUUGCGAUGUCGGUAUUGUGGAGAGUAGCUAUACUGAUCAUAAUUCCACUCAGUGUGUAUGUGAGUGUAUUCUAUGCACACUUGGCAAUGCUUCCAAAAGCUGGACCACAUGAUAGUGUCAUGUCUAGUGCGUUCCAAGCAUCAUUACAAGGAGGCCUUGCUAGUAUAACUAGAGGACAACCAUUACAUGUUGCGCAUGGCUCCCAGAUUACUUUAAGACACUCCCACGGGCGCACGUGCUGGCUGCACUCGCACGCGCACGUGUACCCGGUGCGCUACGCGGACGGGCGCGGCUCGUCGCACCAGCAGCAGGUCACGUGCUACAGCUUCAAGGACGUGAACAACUGGUGGAUAGUGAAGCGGCCCGACGUGUCGUCGCUGACCGUGUCGUACCCGCCCGAUGCGAUCCGACAUGGGGAUGUCGUGCAGCUGGUGCACGGGCUCACUACUAGAGCGCUCAACUCGCACGAUGUGGCCGCUGCUGUGACACCCCACUCGCAGGAAGUAUCGUGCUACAUCGACUACAACGUGUCGAUGCCAGCGCAGAAUCUUUGGCGAGUAGAGAUCGUGAAUCGCGAGUCCGAAGAAGCCACAUGGGACAGCAUUCACUCUCUAGUGCGACUCCUCCACGUGCCCUCGGGCUCCGCUCUGCGGUUCAGCGGCCGCCAGCUGCCGGCCUGGGGCUUCCAUCAGCACGAGGUGGUCGCUGAUAAGGCCACUGACCAUCAGGAUACAGUUUGGAACGUUGAGGAACAUCGAUAUUCGAAAUCGGAAGACCGUCGCGAGCGCGAACGCGAGCUGGUGUCAGCAGAGAUGAUCCCCACCACAGCGACGCGGCUCUCGUUCUGGGCGAAGUUCGUCGAGCUGCAGCGCAAGAUGGCGGCGCACGCGAGUGACGCGCCGCACGGACACAUGUUCGCGAGCGAGCCGCACCACUGGCCCGUGCUGCAGCGCUCCAUCGCGUACUGGCUCUCGCCGGACUCUAAUGUGAGUGUGACGCGUGCUGGCUAGCGGCUCCGAGCUGCACGCAAGAUGGCGGCGCACGCGAGUGACGCGCCGCACGGACACAUGUUCGCGAGCGAGCCGCACCACUGGCCCGUGCUGCAGCGCUCCAUCGCGUACUGGCUCUCGCCGGACUCUAAUGUGAGUGUGACGCGUGCUGGCUAGCGGCUCCGAGCUGCACGCAAGAUGGCGGCGCACGCGAGUGACGCGCCGCACGGACACAUGUUCGCGAGCGAGCCGCACCACUGGCCCGUGCUGCAGCGCUCCAUCGCGUACUGGCUCUCGCCGGACUCUAAUGUGAGUGUGACGCGUGCUGGCUAGCGGCUCCGAGCUGCACGCAAGAUGGCGGCGCACGCGAGUGACGCGCCGCACGGACACAUGUUCGCGAGCGAGCCGCACCACUGGCCCGUGCUGCAGCGCUCCAUCGCGUACUGGCUCUCGCCGGACUCUAAUGUGAGUGUGACGCGUGCUGGCUAGCGGCUCCGAGCUGCACGCAAGAUGGCGGCGCACGCGAGUGACGCGCCGCACGGACACAUGUUCGCGAGCGAGCCGCACCACUGGCCCGUGCUGCAGCGCUCCAUCGCGUACUGGCUCUCGCCGGACUCUAAUGUGAGUGUGACGCGUGCUGGCUAGCGGCUCCGAGCUGCACGCAAGAUGGCGGCGCACGCGAGUGACGCGCCGCACGGACACAUGUUCGCGAGCGAGCCGCACCACUGGCCCGUGCUGCAGCGCUCCAUCGCGUACUGGCUCUCGCCGGACUCUAAUGUGAGUGUGACGCGUGCUGGCUAGCGGCUCCGAGCUGCACGCAAGAUGGCGGCGCACGCGAGUGACGCGCCGCACGGACACAUGUUCGCGAGCGAGCCGCACCACUGGCCCGUGCUGCAGCGCUCCAUCGCGUACUGGCUCUCGCCGGACUCUAAUGUGAGUGUGACGCGUGCUGGCUAGCGGCUCCGAGCUGCACGCAAGAUGGCGGCGCACGCGAGUGACGCGCCGCACGGACACAUGUUCGCGAGCGAGCCGCACCACUGGCCCGUGCUGCAGCGCUCCAUCGCGUACUGGCUCUCGCCGGACUCUAAUGUGAGUGUGACGCGUGCUGGCUAGCGGCUCCGAGCUGCACGCAAGAUGGCGGCGCACGCGAGUGACGCGCCGCACGGACACAUGUUCGCGAGCGAGCCGCACCACUGGCCCGUGCUGCAGCGCUCCAUCGCGUACUGGCUCUCGCCGGACUCUAAUGCUCAAGUACAUCUUAUUGGCAACCUUGUGACCUGGUACGCGGGCACCAUCUCAGUGUUAUUGUACGGCGCAUUCCUCGUACUGUACGCCAUUCGAACAAGAAGAGCUAUCACGGAUCUCCCGC